UACGUAGGUGGCAAGCGUUGUCCGGAUUUACUGGGCGUAAAGAGCGCGCAGGCGGUCGUUCAAGUCGCGUGUGAAAGCCCCCGGCUCAACUGGGGAGGGUCACGCGAUACUGAUCGACUCGAAGGCAGGAGAGGGUAGUGGAAUUCCCGGUGUAGUGGUGAAAUGCGUAGAUAUCGGGAGGAACACCAGCGGCGAAGGCGGCGCUCUGGGCCGGAACUGACGCUGAGGAGCGAAAGCGUGGGUAGCAAACAGG
Molecule: ribosomal RNA, 253 nt
Filed under: uncultured bacterium
Lineage: Bacteria
Description: partial 16S ribosomal RNA
Rfam family: Bacterial small subunit ribosomal RNA
Source: RNAcentral